ACAGCAGUCGCCACGGUAAUACGGAGGGUGCAAGCGUUAUCCGGAUUUAUUGGGUUUAAAGGGUCCGUAGGCGGAUCUGUAAGUCAGUGGUGAAAUCUCACAGCUUAACUGUGAAACUGCCAUUGAUACUGCAGGUCUUGAGUAAAUUUGAAGUGGCUGGAAUAAGUAGUGUAGCGGUGAAAUGCAUAGAUAUUACUUAGAACACCAAUUGCGAAGGCAGGUCACUAAGAUUUAACUGACGCUGAUGGACGAAAGCGUGGGGAGCGAACAGGAUUAGAUACCCCAGUAGUCCCUGUCUCUUAUAA
RNAcentral lists this ribosomal RNA (305 nucleotides) under uncultured bacterium. Its description in RNAcentral is "partial 16S ribosomal RNA". It matches the Rfam family "Bacterial small subunit ribosomal RNA", at positions 505 to 809 of the family's 1533-position model. The record is from RNAcentral.